RNAcentral lists this ribosomal RNA (1803 nucleotides) under Triticum aestivum (bread wheat). Its description in RNAcentral is "partial small subunit ribosomal RNA". The record is from RNAcentral. Lineage: Eukaryota; Viridiplantae; Streptophyta; Magnoliopsida; Poales; Poaceae.
AUGCCACCUCGGGCUAUCAGCAUAAAGGUGGCGAGGGAAGAUGAUUUGUCCUCACACAUUGGAAACGAUGGCUUCUAUUUUGAUCUCGUCGACUUCGACAGGGUGAGGGCUUUCCAGAUCCCGGAUAACACGACUAUGUCCCGAUUGAAGGUGCUCAAUGAUUCUUCCCCACAAAAUCUGAGCAACAAUGAUGGAUUAGUGUUUUUAAAGCUUUAUGACCCAGAACAAACGCAGAUACGAUAUAUUGGAAUGCUGUUUGUAAAAGCUUCAUCAAGGCCUUCAGAUAUUCUUCCGAAACUAAGAAGUCUAGCUGGUUUUUGUGCAGACGAGGAAAUGGAAUUAUAUGAGGAAAUCAAAUCCGAACCUUCUGCCAUGUGUGAAGCCUUAGAUGCCAAUAUUACAUUUUCAGAAAGCCAGAUUGGGCAUGGGGAUAUCAUUUGCUACCAGAAGAGCUCGAAGUCUUUGAGCCACCAUGCAUACCCGUCUGUUGAAAUAUUCUUCAAGCGUAUUCAGGAUUUGAAGGCAGUUGUUCUGGGGGAGCAAAGGAAGAUAUUAGCUCUGGAAGAGGAGGUUGCUAGGUUAAAACAUCAGUCUGACCUUCAAACAGAGAAGGCAAACAUGGAAUGCCAGCGAUUUAAACGUGAGCGAGACAAUGCGGUGCGACAGCUGAAUGAGCUGCAGGAUCAGAAUCCUCAGAUUUUCCUCGAGUUCCCCAUCACAAAUUUGCUGCAAGCAACGGAGAACUUCAGUGACCUGUGCAAGGUUGGAGACACCGAAUAUGGGUGUGUAUAUAAAGGCAUUAUACACGAUACUACAGUAGCUAUCAAGCUAUCCAGAUCUGAUAUUUUAUUUCAACAAGAGGUUUCUAUUCUUCGUCAAGGCAGACAUCCAAGCAUUGUCAACUGCAUUGGAAAAUGUUCUGAAGUUUCAGCUCUUGUGUACGAGUGGUUGCCAAACGGAAACCUCCAAGAUCACAUUGUUUGUGCUAAUGGCUCUCCACCUCUCUCAUGGCAGAUCCGCACACAGAUCAUCGGUGAGAUUUGUUCUGCGCUGCUUUUCCUGCAUUCGCGUGAGCCUCAUGCUUUGGUCCAUGGUGAUCUACGUCCUUGUAACAUAUUCGUUGACGCCAACUUCAGAAGCAAGAUUUGCAACUUUGGUAUGUUAACCCUGUUUCUCCAGCCCGGCAACCACCAACCAGCUCUGACAGCCAGGUUGCCAUACCUGGACCCGGAGUUCCUCACCACCGGAGAGCUCACACCCCUUUCUGAUGUCUACUCUCUGGGUGUUAUCAUCCUGGGUCUCUUGACUGGACUGCCUCCCUUGACUAUUGCAAAGAAAGUUUCAGAAGCACUGGAGAAUAAUAACUUGCACACGCUGAUUGAUAAAUCAGCAGGGAACUGGCCUUAUGUACAAGCCAAGCAGUUAGUCGUCAUUGGUCUUAGCUGUGUGGAAAUGAUGAGGGAAAAGCGACCUGAUCUCUUAACAAAGGUAUGGUCAGUUGUUGAGCCCCUUAUCAGGAAGCCUCCUGCAGCCCCAUGGCCAUACGUCCAAUCGGCAGUUACAGGAAGUUACGCGCCUGACCACUUGAUUUGUCCAAUUCGCAUGGAUAUUAUGAAGGAUCCUCAAGUGGCAUCUGAUGGAUUCACUUAUGAAGCAGAAGCCAUAAUGCGCUGGUUUGAUGGCGGGAACAACAGGUCUCCGAUGACGAACUUGCCGCUAGCAAAUCAUGAUCUCGUCCCGAAUCGAGCCCUCCUCUCUUCCAUCCAGGAGUACCUUGGUCAGCAGAGACAGCCAGGUUCCUGA